This 450-nucleotide ribosomal RNA is filed under the name uncultured bacterium. RNAcentral's name for it is "partial 16S ribosomal RNA". It matches the Rfam family "Bacterial small subunit ribosomal RNA", at positions 354 to 796 of the family's 1533-position model. The record is from RNAcentral.
GUGGGGAAUCUUCCGCAAUGGACGAAAGUCUGAUGGAGCAACGCCGCGUGAGUGAAGAAGGGUUUCGGCUCGUAAAGCUCUGUUGUCGGGGACGAAUGUGCAGUAUUUGAAUAAAGUAGUGCAAUGACGGUACCUGACGAGGAAGCCACGGCUAACUACGUGCCAGCAGCCGCGGUAAUACGUAGGUGGCAAGCGUUGUCCGGAAUUAUUGGGCGUAAAGGGAGCGCAGGCGGGAAGGUAAGUCGGUCUUAAAAGUGCGGGGCUCAACCCCGUGAUGGGAUCGAAACUAUCUUUCUUGAGUGCAGGAGAGGAAAGUGGAAUUCCUAGUGUAGCGGUGAAAUGCGUAGAUAUUAGGAGGAACACCAGUGGCGAAGGCGACUUUCUGGACUGUAACUGACGCUGAGGCUCGAAAGCCAGGGGAGCGAACGGGAUUAGAAACCCGAGUAGUCC